CUACGGGGCGCACCAGUGAGGAAUAUUGCACAAUGGGGGCAACCCUGAUGCAGCAACGCCGCGUGGAGGAUGACGCAUUUCGGUGUGUAAACUCCUUUUAUCAGAGAAGAACCAUGACGGUAUCUGAUGAAUAAGCUCCGGCUAACUCCGUGCCAGCAGCCGCGGUAAUACGGAGGGAGCAAGCGUUAUUCGGAAUCACUGGGCGUAAAGGACGCGUAGGCCGGUCUGUAAGUCAGGUGUGAAAUGCAAUGGCUCAACCAUUGAACUGCACUUGAAACUGCGGACCUAGAGUAUGGAAGGGGCAGAUGGAAUUAGUGGUGUAGGGGUAAAAUCCGUAGAUAUCACUAGGAAUACCGAAAGCGAAGGCGAUCUGCUGGGACAUAACUGACGCUGAGGCGUGAAAGCGUGGGGAGCAAACAGGAUUAGAUACCCGAGUAGUC
This 440-nucleotide ribosomal RNA is filed under the name uncultured bacterium. RNAcentral's name for it is "partial 16S ribosomal RNA". It matches the Rfam family "Bacterial small subunit ribosomal RNA", at positions 339 to 795 of the family's 1533-position model. The record is from RNAcentral.